UCCCCAGUGGCUCAGAUGGUAAAGAAUCUGCCUGCAAUGCAGGAGACUCAGGUUCAAUCCCUGAGUCAGGAA
This 72-nucleotide transfer RNA is filed under the name Capra hircus (goat). It matches the Rfam family "tRNA". From Rfam's summary of the family: Transfer RNA (tRNA) molecules are approximately 80 nucleotides in length. The record is from Rfam by way of RNAcentral. RNAcentral also lists the same sequence under 1 other name. Lineage: Eukaryota; Metazoa; Chordata; Mammalia; Artiodactyla; Bovidae.